Molecule: transfer RNA, 69 nt
Filed under: Rattus norvegicus (Norway rat)
Lineage: Eukaryota; Metazoa; Chordata; Mammalia; Rodentia; Muridae
Rfam family: tRNA
About the family: Transfer RNA (tRNA) molecules are approximately 80 nucleotides in length.
Source: Rfam by way of RNAcentral
GGGGAUUUGGCUCAGUGGUAGAGCGCUUGCCUAGGAAGCGCAACGUCCUGGGUUCGAUCCCCAGCCUCG